GUCCACGCCGUAAACGAUGGGUGCUAGGUGUGGGCGGUGUCGACUCCGUCCGUGCCGAAGCUAACGCAUUAAGCACCCCGCCUGGGGAGUACGGCCGCAAGGCUAAAACUCAAAGGAAUUGACGGGGGCCCGCACAAGCAGCGGAGCAUGUGGUUUAAUUCGACGCGACGCGAAGAACCUUACCAAGGCUUGACAUGCACUGGAAUGUCGUAGAAAUACGGCAGCCCUUCGGGGCCGGUGCACAGGUGGUGCAUGGCUGUCGU
RNAcentral lists this ribosomal RNA (263 nucleotides) under uncultured bacterium. RNAcentral describes it as "partial 16S ribosomal RNA". It matches the Rfam family "Bacterial small subunit ribosomal RNA", at positions 793 to 1055 of the family's 1533-position model. The record is from RNAcentral.